RNAcentral lists this ribosomal RNA (694 nucleotides) under Mucoromycotina sp. Its description in RNAcentral is "SSU rRNA". It matches the Rfam family "Eukaryotic small subunit ribosomal RNA", at positions 724 to 1442 of the family's 1831-position model. Lineage: Eukaryota; Fungi; Mucoromycota. The record is from RNAcentral.
UAUUGGGUGUGUUGGGGAACCAGGACUUUUACCUUGAAAAAAUUAGAGUGUUCAAAGCAGGCCUUUGCUUGAAUACAUUAGCAUGGAAUAAUAGAAUAGGACUUGGGUUCUAUUUUGUUGGUUUCUAGGACCAAAGUAAUGAUUAAUAGGGAUAGUUGGGGGCAUUAGUAUUUAGUAGCUAGAGGUGAAAUUCUUGGAUUUACGAAAGACUAACUUCUGCGAAAGCAUUUGCCAAGGAUGUUUUCAUUAAUCAAGAACGAAAGUUAGGGGAUCGAAGACGAUCAGAUACCGUCGUAGUCUUAACCAUAAACUAUGCCGACUAGGGAUCAGACGAUGUUAUUUUACUGACUCGUUUGGCACCUUAUGAGAAAUCAAAGUUUUUGGGUUCCGGGGGGAGUAUGGUCGCAAGGCUGAAACUUAAAGGAAUUGACGGAAGGGCACCACCAGGAGUGGAGCCUGCGGCUUAAUUUGACUCAACACGGGGAAACUCACCAGGUCCAGACAUAGUAAGGAUUGACAGAUUGAGAGCUCUUUCUUGAUUCUUUGGGUGGUGGUGCAUGGCCGUUCUUAGUUGGUGGAGUGAUUUGUCUGCUUAAUUGCGUUAACGAACGAGACCUUAACCUGCUAAAUAGUUAUGCCAACUUUUGUUGGUAGUCAACUUCUUAAAGGGACUGUCGGCGAUUAGCCGACGGAA